GCACCGGCUAACUACGUGCCAGCAGCCGCGGUAAUACGUAGGGUGCGAGCGUUGUCCGGAAUUACUGGGCGUAAAGAGCUCGUAGGUGGUUUGUCGCGUCGUCUGUGAAAUUCCGGGGCUUAACUCCGGGCGUGCAGGCGAUACGGGCAUAACUUGAGUACUGUAGGGGAGACUGGAAUUCCUGGUGUAGCGGUGAAAUGCGCAGAUAUCAGGAGGAACACCGGUGGCGAAGGCGGGUCUCUGGGCAGUAACUGACGCUGAGGAGCGAAAGCAUGGGGAGCGAACAGGAUUAGAUACCCUGGUAGUCCAUGCCGUAAACGGUGGGCGCUAGGUGUGGGUUUCCUUCCACGGGAUCCGUGCCGUAGCUAACGCAUUAAGUACCCCGCCUGGGGAGUACGGCCGCA
This 404-nucleotide ribosomal RNA is filed under the name uncultured bacterium. RNAcentral's name for it is "bacterial SSU rRNA". It matches the Rfam family "Bacterial small subunit ribosomal RNA", at positions 490 to 890 of the family's 1533-position model. The record is from RNAcentral.